CAGGCCUAACACAUGCAAGUCGAGCGGUAGAGAGAAGCUUGCUUCUCUUGAGAGCGGCGGACGGGUGAGCAAUACCUAGGAAUCUGCCUGAUAGUGGGGGAUAACGUUCGGAAACGGACGCUAAUACCGCAUACGUCCUACGGGAGAAAGCAGGGGACCUUCGGGCCUUGCGCUAUCAGAUGAGCCUAGGUCGGAUUAGCUAGUUGGUGAGGUAAUGGCUCACCAAGGCUACGAUCCGUAACUGGUCUGAGAGGAUGAUCAGUCACACUGGAACUGAGACACGGUCCAGACUCCUACGGGAGGCAGCAGUGGGGAAUAUUGGACAAUGGGCGAAAGCCUGAUCCAGCCAUGCCGCGUGUGUGAAGAAGGUCUUCGGAUUGUAAAGCACUUUAAGUUGGGAGGAAGGGCAGUUACCUAAUACGUGAUUGUCUUGACGUUACCGACAGAAUAAGCACCGGCUAACUCUGUGCCAGCAGCCGCGGUAAUACAGAGGGUGCAAGCGUUAAUCGGAAUUACUGGGCGUAAAGCGCGCGUAGGUGGUUUGUUAAGUUGAAUGUGAAAUCCCCGGGCUCAACCUGGGAACUGCAUCCAAAACUGGCAAGCUAGAGUAUGGUAGAGGGUAGUGGAAUUUCCUGUGUAGCGGUGAAAUGCGUAGAUAUAGGAAGGAACACCAGUGGCGAAGGCGACUACCUGGACUGAUACUGACACUGAGGUGCGAAAGCGUGGGGAGCAAACAGGAUUAGAUACCCUGGUAGUCCACGCCGUAAACGAUGUCAACUAGCCGUUGGGAGUCUUGAACUCUUAGUGGCGCAGCUAACGCAUUAAGUUGACCGCCUGGGGAGUACGGCCGCAAGGUUAAAAC
Molecule: ribosomal RNA, 862 nt
Filed under: uncultured Pseudomonas sp.
Lineage: Bacteria; Pseudomonadati; Pseudomonadota; Gammaproteobacteria; Pseudomonadales; Pseudomonadaceae
Description: bacterial SSU rRNA
Rfam family: Bacterial small subunit ribosomal RNA
Source: RNAcentral